This 588-nucleotide ribosomal RNA is filed under the name uncultured Actinomycetes bacterium. RNAcentral's name for it is "bacterial SSU rRNA". It matches the Rfam family "Bacterial small subunit ribosomal RNA", at positions 74 to 678 of the family's 1533-position model. Lineage: Bacteria; Bacillati; Actinomycetota; Actinomycetes. The record is from RNAcentral.
GCACCUUCGGGUGUGAAUUAGCGGCGAACGGGUGAGGAACACGUGAGAAAUCUACCUUCAACACUGGGAUAACUCCGGGAAACCGGGGCUAAUACCGGAUAUGAGAUCCGCAGGCAUCUGUGGAUCUGGAAAGUUAUUCGGUUGAAGAUGAUCUCGCGGCCUAUCAGCUUGUUGGUGAGGUAAUGGCUCACCAAGGCGACGACGGGUAGCCGGCCUGAGAGGGCGACCGGCCACACUGGGACUGAGACACGGCCCAGACUCCUACGGGAGGCAGCAGUGGGGAAUAUUGGGCAGUGGAGGAAACUCUGACCCAGCGACGCCGCGUGCGGGAUGAAGGCCUUCGGGUUGUAAACCGCUUUCAGCAGGGAAGAAGCGAAAGUGACGGUACCUGCAGAAGAAGCACCGGCUAACUAUGUGCCAGCAGCCGCGGUAAUACAUAGGGUGCAAGCGUUGUCCGGAAUUAUUGGGCGUAAAGAGCUCGUAGGUGGUUCGUCACGUCGGAUGUGAAACUCUGGGGCUUAACCCCAGACCUGCAUUCGAUACGGGCGAGCUUGAGUAUGGUAGGGGAGUCUGGAAUUCCUGGUGUAG